GACGAACGCUGGCGGCGUGCUUAACACAUGCAAGUCGAACGGAAAGGCCUGCUUUCCCUUGUGGAUUGCGGGUACUCGAGUGGCGAACGGGUGAGUAACACGUGAGUGAUCUGCCCCCAACUUGGGUAUAAGCCUGGGAAACUGGGUCUAAUUCCCGAUAGGACUGCAGGGUGGUGCCUGUGGUGGAAAACGAUUUUCUAGUGGUUGGGGAUGAGCUCGCGGCCUAUCAGCUUGUUGGUGGGGUAAUGGCCUACCAAGGCGGCGACGGGUAGCCGGCCUGAGAGGGUGGACGGCCACAUUGGGACUGAGAUACGGCCCAGACUCCAACGGGAGGCAGCAGUGGGGAAUAUUGCACAAUAGGCGGAAGCCUGAUGCAGCGACGCCGCGUGGGGGAUGUCGGCCUUCGGGUUGUAAACUCCUUUCGACCGCGAGGAAGCCACCUGGUUGGAAGGGUGGUGACGGUAGUGGUAGAAGAAGCACCGGCUAACUACGUG
This 494-nucleotide ribosomal RNA is filed under the name uncultured bacterium. Its description in RNAcentral is "partial 16S ribosomal RNA". It matches the Rfam family "Bacterial small subunit ribosomal RNA", at positions 28 to 507 of the family's 1533-position model. The record is from RNAcentral.